CAUCGAUUGAUAUUGAAAGCUCCGGCGGAUAGAGAUGGGCACGCGCAAGAUUAGCUAGUUGGUGAGGUAACGGCUCACCAAGGCGAUGGAUCUUUAGGGGCCUGAGAGGGUGAUCCCCCACACUGGUACUGAGACACGGACCAGACUCCUACGGGAGGCAGCAGUGAGGAAUAUUGGUCAAUGGGUGCAAGCCUGAACCAGCCAUCCCGCGUGAAGGACGACUGCCCUAUGGGUUGUAAACUUCUUUUGUAUAGGGAUAAACCUACCCUCGUGAGGGUAGCUGAAGGUACUAUACGAAUAAGCACCGGCUAACUCCGUG
RNAcentral lists this ribosomal RNA (319 nucleotides) under uncultured bacterium. Its description in RNAcentral is "bacterial SSU rRNA". It matches the Rfam family "Bacterial small subunit ribosomal RNA", at positions 188 to 507 of the family's 1533-position model. The record is from RNAcentral.